Molecule: long non-coding RNA, 428 nt
Filed under: Malus domestica (apple)
Lineage: Eukaryota; Viridiplantae; Streptophyta; Magnoliopsida; Rosales; Rosaceae
Description: long non-coding RNA (MDOM_LNC008401)
Source: RNAcentral
AUGAUAUGAUGUUGGCUCCAUUGCACUUAGUUAAGUCAUUCCCACCAUGCAAGUUCGAGUAGGGGUUGAAGAACAACCUCACAAUGAUAUGAUGUUGGCUAUUCUCGUUGCCUACCUUCACAACAUCAUGUAUGCAUAUAGUAUUCAUCCUGAGUGUAAGCACGCACUUUGUACUCCCCCAUGAUAGGGUGAAGUAGGUGUACGAGUCACAAACGAUCGGAGCCUACCACGGUGGAAGGCCAUGAAAGAGUGUUCAAAGCACUCUCACGCUUAUCAGCUUAAUAAUGGUUUGGUUGAGGGUUUUAGGUCUCAUCACAUAUAAACAUACAUUUUAAUCUUAUUAAAACAAUUUGGUCCUAUUACAACUAUUGGUCCAUGUGAUUGAUUUAGUUGUACAUGAUACUCCCACUAUGCUUGUAAAAUGGUUU